CAGCAGCCGCGGUAAUACGUAUGUCACAAGCGUUAUCCGGAUUUAUUGGGCGUAAAGCGCGUCUAGGCGGUUAAUUAAGUCUGAUGUGAAAAUGCGGAGCUCAACUCCGUAUUGCGUUGGAAACUGGUUAACUAGAGUACUGGAGAGGUAAGCGGAACUACAAGUGUAGAGGUGAAAUUCGUAGAUAUUUGUAGGAAUGCCGAUGGGGAAGCCAGCUUACUGGACAGAUACUGACGCUAAAGCGCGAAAGCGUGGGUAGCAAACAGGAUUAGAUACCCCGGUAGUCCCUGUCUCUUAUACC
Molecule: ribosomal RNA, 301 nt
Filed under: uncultured bacterium
Lineage: Bacteria
Description: partial 16S ribosomal RNA
Rfam family: Bacterial small subunit ribosomal RNA
Source: RNAcentral